ACUAAAACCAUGGCACCUCCCACAAGGAAUAAUCAAAUAACCAAAGGCCAGGUCACUGCCCUCACAGAGAAGAGUUAGACUUUUAAUCUAAACCGACCCUGAACUCAGCCUGCAGAGACACUAAAAUGAGGCUGUGCCUGCUGAGCUUGGUGGUGGGGAUCACCAUGGGGGUGACUGGGAUCCCCCUGGGAAAAGUCUUUACAAGGAGACAACAAACAGAGGUGGAAAAGGAGGGACAGGACUCCCUGGAGCCAAAUAACGAGUUGACUUCAUUAUAUCAACCAGAAUCUGUAUCAUGGAACUUAACUGAAACUUUUGAGGACACUGAGGAGGACAAGCCCAAGAAAGCAAAAAGACAACUCCCUAUCCUUGGUUCUUAUUCAGGAAUGACUUCAAGAGCAGCUAACGAUAAUGAGACCUUUAUCUUUAUACGUAUUUGUGGAGGUACCUGCAAUGAAUCUAAGACACUCCAUGAGAAUAGCCCUGAGAAAGAAAAAGAAGAAAAAAGACAAAGAGAGCCUCAUCCCUACAGAGAACCAGUGAGAGACCUGAACCUUCCAGGGACUAUCCUACAGCUGCUUAACCAGACAAAGGCUACAAACAGGAGUGCCAGUGUGGAUUUCAUCCUUCAGAAUCAAAAUGGCAGUAUCACCAGAGAUCUCUGUGAGGGCUGCUGUGAGGAGAAAGAGAAAGAUCUAGGAAGGAAGUCAAAUGAGACAUCGAAGUAUCCCAAGAAGAAAAGAGUUGACCAGUGGUCAGUCCUUGGGAGAGUGGCUCCUCCACCUGGAAAAAAUUCCAAUAAUAUGGUGGCGAUGAAGUUGCAUAAUGACACUCACAUUGACAAUCUAGCCAAGAAGGCCCCACAACAGGCUAAUGACCUUAGAGGAAGGCGAUGCUCUGCCUGUUGUGCUGAUGAUAGAAACCUUGCGGUCCUUGUGAGAAGAGACUGAGAAGAAGCCAAUGAAGUGUUUUCUGCAUGGACCUAGCACAAUGCCCAGCAGAGACCAGUCACCAUAUACAAUGGAGCUAAGAUACUACAGCUGGAUUGGAAAAAGGAAGUAUGCCUUGAUUUCGUCCUCCUCACUUCCAUGUUGUUGCUAAGUCCUGUUUCUUCAUAUCAUGCUUGAGUCCUCCUUCGGUUCACAAUAAAGUCUCUCUUUUCCUGAUUACCUCA
Molecule: long non-coding RNA, 1174 nt
Filed under: Monodelphis domestica (gray short-tailed opossum)
Lineage: Eukaryota; Metazoa; Chordata; Mammalia; Didelphimorphia; Didelphidae
Description: lncRNA (ENSMODG00000034436.2)
Source: RNAcentral